GGCCCGCACCGAUGAUAAAAAGACGCUCUAGCAGCCUCCGAGAACAACAUGCUAGUAAUCCGCCAACUAGGGAGUUGUUGGUUCCAUCCCGCCGUCUGUCACACCAAAAUUUUCGGUAUUUGUUCUGGCCAAAGCUGGAGUCAGUGACGAUAAGGCGGUAACCAAGUCGGAGAUUAAGAAAUAAGGACACUCCUUUUCCCUCAGGACCCAGGCUGGCAGGCCCCUUAUCAAAUGUGCUGGAACGAGACUACAAGUAUUCAGGCAAACUGGACCCUUUUCGGACUCAUCACUAACUCGCGGAUGCUGGCCAUUAGUGAACAAUUCAAAAAUCAGGUGUGGGAAAGGCUCAAUCCCCACCGACUUUGGCACUGAGGCGGAAGCCCAAAGUUGCACCAUUGUAGCAGCACACUUAUUUUCCAACGAGCUAGCAUGCGGCUCAGCAGUUUGUCGCCCAAAGGAUUGAGCAGUUGGCCGUACUCUAAGCUCGUUCGUGUCGUUUGCUUGCAAGCCUCUUCGCGAAGAAUACUCGUAAGUGUCAAUUCAACUCCUUUGCAACCGGACGAACUGGGUUAGUUAAUGUGGGACGUCUAAGUGGUUGUAUUAGCAUGCAGGCAGCUGAGGCAUAUAUGUGCGGUGCGCUAGUCCGUGAUAGGCAGCCUAGGGCCAA
This 667-nucleotide small RNA is filed under the name Histoplasma capsulatum. RNAcentral describes it as "hypothetical RNA". The record is from RNAcentral. RNAcentral also lists the same sequence under 1 other name. Lineage: Eukaryota; Fungi; Ascomycota; Eurotiomycetes; Onygenales; Ajellomycetaceae.